RNAcentral lists this unclassified non-coding RNA (769 nucleotides) under Hevea brasiliensis (rubber tree). The record is from RNAcentral. Lineage: Eukaryota; Viridiplantae; Streptophyta; Magnoliopsida; Malpighiales; Euphorbiaceae.
AGGAAUAUAUAUAAAAUAUAUUGAUUUUUCAUAACACUCUUUUAAGUUGGAAUAUGAAAUCUCAUUAAUUCCAACAUUCCCCCUUGAUGAGAUUUAUUGAAACCAGUAACUCCCUCACAAUAGCUCGUAAUAGCACAACCAUCAAUAAUUACAAGGCACAUUUAGAAACACUUAAACAAAGGCACCAACACAAAGUACCAAAACAUAAAGCAACACUUAGGGUUGCAUUUCCUCUUGAAAGGCGACAUUGGUAAAGAAACAUCAACACAAAGCAAGUCAUAGGGUUGCACUUCCCUCUCCAAAAGCGACACAAAUGAUGUUGGUGAGAAAUAACGGAGACAAAACAAUAGGUUGAUCUUUACCAUAACAGCUCACAUAACUACAGUGUAAUGGCUGUCCAAAUUUCAGCAAACAUUCAAGGGAGUUUCAAAAUAGGGCAGCAGCUAGGAAUGGCUUAAAAGGGACAUAGUAAUAAAUACAAAAAGUGAAUAUUACUUGAAAUAGGAACUGAAAUUAAUACAAAAUAACCCAAAUUUUCCAUAGAAAAGUGACAACACAACCCAAAAUCUCCUUAAAAUUAUUCCUGUGAAUAGUGCCAUGACAAUAUCCGUAAACAGUGCCAUGAGUAAUACAUGUAAACAAUACCAUGAACAGUAUUAAACUCCUAAUGAAUAGAAAGCUCUAAUACCAUUAUAAAAAUUUAAGAACUAGAACAAGAAAAAAGAAAGGAAGUGAAGAGAUAGGAAAAAACUCAAAGGGGCUACAUCUU